CUGGCUCAGGAUGAACGCUGGCGGCGUGCCUAACACAUGCAAGUCGAACGAAGAGGCGCCUUCGGGCGUACUUCAGUGGCGGACGGGUGAGUAACACGUAGGUGACCUGCCCCGAAGCAGGGGAUAACGGCCCGAAAGGGCCGCUAAUACCCAAAAGCCUGACGAGUCGCAUCGACAGGAGAGUGCCCGCAAGGGCUGCGUUUCGGGAGGGGCCUGCGGCCCAUCAGCUAGUUGGCAGGGUAAUGGCCUACCAAGGCGACGACGGGUAGGGGGCCUGAGAGGGUGGUCCCCCACAUUGGCACUGACACACGGGCCAAACUCCUACGGGAGGCAGCAGUGAGGAAUAUUGCGCAAUGGGCGAAAGCCAGACGCAGCAACGCCGCGUGAACGAUGAAGGCCUUCGGGUCGUAAAGUUCUUUUCAGGGGGACGAGCAGGGACGGUACCCCUGGAAUAAGUCACGGCUAACUACGUGCCAGCAGCCGCGGUAAAACGUAGGUGGCGAGCGUUAUCCGGAUUCACUGGGCGUAAAGGGCCUGCAGGCGGCUCUGUAAGUGGGAUGUGAAAUCUCCUGGCUCAACUGGGAGGGGUCAUUCCAUACUGCGGGGCUGGAGGGCAGAAGAGGGAAGUGGAAUUCCCGGUGUAGUGGUGAAAUGCGUAGAUAUCGGGAGGAACACCAGUGGCGAAGGCGACUUCCUGGUCUGCACCUGACGCUAAGAGGCGAAAGCUAGGGGAGCGAACGGGAUUAGAAACCCCGGUAGUCCUAGCCGUAAACGAUGGAUGCUGGGUGUCGGUGGUCCUAACCCCAUCGGUGCCGAAGCGAACGCGUUAAGCAUCCCGCCUGGGGACUACGGCCGCAAGGUUAAAACU
This 868-nucleotide ribosomal RNA is filed under the name uncultured bacterium. Its description in RNAcentral is "bacterial SSU rRNA". It matches the Rfam family "Bacterial small subunit ribosomal RNA", at positions 19 to 901 of the family's 1533-position model. The record is from RNAcentral.